This 71-nucleotide transfer RNA is filed under the name Candidatus Berkelbacteria bacterium CG_4_10_14_0_2_um_filter_35_9_33_12. RNAcentral describes it as "tRNA-Gly". It matches the Rfam family "tRNA". From Rfam's summary of the family: Transfer RNA (tRNA) molecules are approximately 80 nucleotides in length. Their secondary structure includes four short double-helical elements and three loops (D, anti-codon, and T loops). Lineage: Bacteria; Candidatus Berkelbacteria. The record is from RNAcentral. RNAcentral also lists the same sequence under 1 other name.
GCGGGCAUAGUAUAGUGGUAAUACGCGUCCUUGCCAAGGACGUAUCACGGGUCCGAGCCCCGUUGCCCGCU